GCAGCUGUAGCUCAGUUGGUUUAGAGCGCUGGUCUGUGGAACCAGAGGUCGGUGGUUCAAAUCCACCCAGCUGUACCA
Molecule: transfer RNA, 78 nt
Filed under: Anaerolinea sp.
Lineage: Bacteria; Bacillati; Chloroflexota; Anaerolineae; Anaerolineales; Anaerolineaceae
Description: tRNA-His
Rfam family: tRNA
About the family: Transfer RNA (tRNA) molecules are approximately 80 nucleotides in length. Their secondary structure includes four short double-helical elements and three loops (D, anti-codon, and T loops).
Source: RNAcentral